AUCUCUUUUCAGGUAGAAUAUAGGGAUUUUCAAUCACAGAAGUUAAGUUGUUCUCCAGAAUCAGUUCUCCUCUAAGUAAGGUCAAAAC
This is a non-coding RNA of Sarcophilus harrisii (Tasmanian devil), 88 nucleotides long. NCBI's taxonomy places the organism in Eukaryota, Metazoa, Chordata, Mammalia, Dasyuromorphia, Dasyuridae. The record is from Rfam.